UACGUAGGGUGCAAGCGUUAAUCGGAAUUACUGGGCGUAAAGCGUGCGCAGGCGGUUCGCUAAGACCGAUGUGAAAUCCCCGGGCUUAACCUGGGAACUGCAUUGGUGACUGGCGGGCUAGAGUAUGGCAGAGGGGGGUAGAAUUCCACGUGUAGCAGUGAAAUGCGUAGAUAUGUGGAGGAAUACCGAUGGCGAAGGCAGCCCCCUGGGAUAACACUGACGCUCAUGCACGAAAGCGUGGGGAGCAAACAGG
RNAcentral lists this ribosomal RNA (253 nucleotides) under uncultured bacterium. Its description in RNAcentral is "partial 16S ribosomal RNA". It matches the Rfam family "Bacterial small subunit ribosomal RNA", at positions 524 to 776 of the family's 1533-position model. The record is from RNAcentral.